GCUGGGUGCGGUGUCGCGUGCCUGUAGUCCCAGCUAUUUGGGAGGCUGAGGCUGGAGGAUCUCUUGAAUCCAGGAGUUCUGGGCUGUAGUGUGCUAUGCUGAUCGGUUGACUGCACUAAGUUCGGCGUCAAUAUGGUGACCUCCCGGGAGCGGGAGACCACCAGGUUGCCUAAGGAGGGGUGAACCGGCCCAGGUCGGAAACGGAGCAGGUCAAAACUCCCAUGCUGAUCAGUAGUGGGAUCGCGCCUGUGAAUAGCCACUGCACUGCAGCCUGGGCAAUAUAGCGAGACCCCGUCUCU
Molecule: unclassified non-coding RNA, 299 nt
Organism: Aotus nancymaae (Ma's night monkey)
Lineage: Eukaryota; Metazoa; Chordata; Mammalia; Primates; Aotidae
Rfam family: Metazoan signal recognition particle RNA
About the family: The signal recognition particle (SRP) is a universally conserved ribonucleoprotein.
Source: Ensembl